Molecule: ribosomal RNA, 490 nt
Filed under: uncultured bacterium
Lineage: Bacteria
Description: partial 16S ribosomal RNA
Rfam family: Bacterial small subunit ribosomal RNA
Source: RNAcentral
AUUGAACGCUGGCGGCAGGCCUAACACAUGCAAGUCGAACGGUAACAGGAAGCAGCUUGCUGCUUUGCUGACGAGUGGCGGACGGGUGAGUAAUGUCUGGGAAACUGCCCGAUGGAGGGGGAUAACUACUGGAAACGGUAGCUAAUACCGCAUAACGUCGCAAGACCAAAGAGGGGGACCUUAGGGCCUCUUGCCAUCGGAUGUGCCCAGAUGGGAUUAGCUAGUGGGUGGGGUAACGGCUCACCUAGGCGACGAUCCCUAGCUGGUCUGAGAGGAUGACCAGCCACACUGGAACUGAGACACGGUCCAGACUCCUACGGGAGGCAGCAGUGGGGAAUAUUGCACAAUGGGCGCAAGCCUGAUGCAGCCAUGCCGCGUGUAUGAAGAAGGCCUUCGGGUUGUAAAGUACUUUCAGCGGGGAGGAAGGGAGUAAAGUUAAUACCUUUGCUCAUUGACGUUACCCGCAGAAGAAGCACCGGCUAACUCCGUG